AACGCGCAGUGUUUCCGGAAAAGUGGCCGUCGGUUUUCUGACCAAUUAAGCAAACUUUUCUCCAUUUCAAAAUUUAAAAAACUGUAUUUUUGCGAUUUCGUAACUGAAUUCAGGACACUUGCACCAUUAGGGAGGCUUCAGAGAUCUGUCCACCUGUUUAGGACUCAAGGUUGAAGUUUGUUCUGCCAGGUAAUGGACGUAGUUCGGAUUCUGCAGUAUGUCAUCCUCUUUGAUGCUGAUGAAGACUUCACACCAUGUUGGCAGUUCUAACAGAUCAAGCUGCAGCUGCCAUGACGAUACAACAAGGCAGAAGUUUCCACUGUGUAGGUGGAUGCGUGGGAGGCAGGCGGAGGAGGGGUUUCCUCUGAGGUUGGCAUCCCCGAACACAGAAAAAAGCACAGAGAAAAGAAAAGGACUUCCCCGGGCACGGUUGAAGUGCGGAGCUGCACUGCUGGCGUCACACUCACGAGACACCUGCGUUGUUGGUUUACACUAGAUUCACUCUCUGAUAAACUUUUUGUCAUGCUGCAGCCAGGUGCAUAGUGCCACUGUGAGUGUGUGUGUGCCUGUGUGUGUUACCACAUCACUCACACAUACUAGUCUGUGGGAAGACAAACACUGAACAAAACACAAGACACUCCUGAGGAAAUGCACAUGAAAAGGACACAUGUAGACACUUCCACACACGCAGUCACACACUGUUAGUUCUCCCUCGUCAAAUCUUUAUCUCAUUUGUCUCAUAGGCUUUAUUUAACAUUUAUUAUCUUAUUCGUUAUCUUGUAGUGUUUCAGCUGCACUUUCUGCUCUGACUAACUGAACACUGCUGUUUACUGUGUGUGAGUGAAGCAUGU
Molecule: long non-coding RNA, 851 nt
Organism: Amphiprion ocellaris (clown anemonefish)
Lineage: Eukaryota; Metazoa; Chordata; Actinopteri; Pomacentridae
Source: Ensembl